GCAGUUGAGCAACGUCAACGGUCUAAGGCACUGUGUUCAGGUCGCAGUCUCCCCUGGAGGCGAGGGUUCGAAUCCCUCUCCU
Molecule: non-coding RNA, 82 nt
Organism: Ataeniobius toweri
Lineage: Eukaryota; Metazoa; Chordata; Actinopteri; Cyprinodontiformes; Goodeidae
Source: the annotation of a GenBank genome assembly